Molecule: long non-coding RNA, 1283 nt
Filed under: Homo sapiens (human)
Lineage: Eukaryota; Metazoa; Chordata; Mammalia; Primates; Hominidae
Description: long intergenic non-protein coding RNA 840
Source: RNAcentral
GCAGCCUCUGAUGAGGAGCAAGAAUGCCCCCUCUCAUCCAGCCUUGUCAGGGCCAAGUGAAAGAAGCCCGGGCAGGCCUGGGGAAGCUGCCCAAGGAGCCUCAGUAGUCAAUGCUGGCAUCGUUUCUCUCUCAGCCCCGUCUCUGUCACUUUGAAGCUUUCUACUGGUUUCCUUUGAGUCCCCUCAGCUCCCCAGUCAGAUCAAGGAAGAGCUGGUUGUUGCUUUCACAGACUUCAGGGGCAAGCAGAUCUGAGUACCUCGGGGGUCAAACAGACCUGCCCCAACCACAGCGUUGAAGAGGAGAUCCAUUUCCUAAAAAUGGGGGGAGACGGCUAUUGGUGGGAUACUCUAUUCACAUCUGUCUCCACUGCAUGUCUACAGAACGGCUCCCUGUAGUCUGGGAGUAGCGUUCCCUGGCUUCUCUGAGCUUCCUGCGGUCCACGAAAGGCUGUUUCCCUUGACAGAAGCCUUUCCUCUUCUUCCAUAUCUGGUUGACUGCAUGUCCUUUGGAGCCAGCCCUCUGGACUGAGGACUUGAAUCUCUGAUUAAUCCGCCCAGUACUCAGCUCCAUGGCCUCAGUGGUGUCCACGAGACUCUUGACACGGGACCUAUUCACAAGGGAAGGCACCUCCCCACAGAUGCACCUGAAAGCCGUGGACCCUGUGAUUCUCAGGAAUUCGGCUGACUGAUGGAGCAAUCCUUCCCACACGGGUGAAGGUGGAGGACUCCCCUUGACCCAGACACACGGGUAUUCCGUGAGUUUCUUGACGGUGCCAGUUCCUCUGAAGUAUGGAUUUUACUCCUUGGUGUUGUCUGAUUAGAUAAACUCUCCAAGAUAAAGAUCCGGAUAUAUUGGCAAGGGACCUGGCUUUUAGAAAACAUAUUCCUCAGAUUUAAAGUUGUAGGCCCUCUUUUCUCUCCAGAAACUCAGUCAUUUGCCCUGCAGAAUUUUCUACACUGUGGAUUUGCCUGACUACACCCUGUGGUGCUGUUCCUCUAUCUUGUUCUGGCCCAUAGGAUAAGAAGAAACCAAGUCCUAAAAGUAGGCCAGCACCAGGGUUCAGGCCUCUGACUUCAAGCCAAGGGCUCAUCAUCUUGAAUUGCGCACGAAUUUUUACACAGCGCCAAAGGAAACUGCCUGUACUUACUGUUGUAGGUGCUUUGCUGGAUUCAGGAUGCAGACAAGGUCCACGCAUUGUGGUUGGGUGAGGUGUCUUUUAGGUCUCUUUUAAUCUGUAAUACUUCUCCCUCUCUUUUAAAAAUGCAUUUAUUUGUUGAAAAAA